RNAcentral lists this ribosomal RNA (450 nucleotides) under uncultured bacterium. RNAcentral's name for it is "partial 16S ribosomal RNA". It matches the Rfam family "Bacterial small subunit ribosomal RNA", at positions 354 to 796 of the family's 1533-position model. The record is from RNAcentral.
GUGGGGAAUUUUGGACAAUGGGCGCAAGCCUGAUCCAGCCAUUCCGCGUGCAGGAUGAAGGCCUUCGGGUUGUAAACUGCUUUUGUACGGAACGAAAAGCCUCUGGUUAAUACCCGGGGGUCAUGACGGUACCGUAAGAAUAAGCACCGGCUAACUACGUGCCAGCAGCCGCGGUAAUACGUAGGGUGCGAGCGUUAAUCGGAAUUACUGGGCGUAAAGCGUGCGCAGGCGGUGAUGUAAGACAGGCGUGAAAUCCCCGGGCUCAACCUGGGAAUUGCGCUUGUGACUGCAGUGCUGGAGUGCGGCAGAGGGGGAUGGAAUUCCGCGUGUAGCAGUGAAAUGCGUAGAUAUGCGGAGGAACACCGAUGGCGAAGGCAAUCCCCUGGGCCUGCACUGACGCUCAUGCACGAAAGCGUGGGGAGCAAACAGGAUUAGAAACCCGAGUAGUCC